RNAcentral lists this ribosomal RNA (253 nucleotides) under uncultured bacterium. RNAcentral describes it as "partial 16S ribosomal RNA". It matches the Rfam family "Bacterial small subunit ribosomal RNA", at positions 524 to 776 of the family's 1533-position model. The record is from RNAcentral.
UACAGAGGUCUCAAGCGUUGUUCGGAUUCAUUGGGCGUAAAGGGUGUGUAGGUGGCGCCGUAAGUCGGGUGUGAAAUUUCGGAGCUUAACUCCGAAACUGCAUUCGAUACUGCGGUGCUUGAGGACUGGAGAGGAGACUGGAAUUUACGGUGUAGCAGUGAAAUGCGUAGAUAUCGUAAGGAAGACCAGUGGCGAAGGCGGGUCUCUGGACAGUUCCUGACGCUGAGGCACGAAGGCCAGGGGAGCAAACGGG